RNAcentral lists this ribosomal RNA (274 nucleotides) under uncultured bacterium. RNAcentral describes it as "partial 16S ribosomal RNA". It matches the Rfam family "Bacterial small subunit ribosomal RNA", at positions 523 to 796 of the family's 1533-position model. The record is from RNAcentral.
AGACGUAGGGGGCUAGCGUUGCCCGGAUUCACUGGGCGUAAAGCGCGCGUAGGCGGUUCGGCAAGUCGCCCGUGAAAGCCCCUGGCUCAACUGGGGGAGGUCGGGCGAUACUGCCGGGCUAGAGGGCGGCAGAGGGAGGUGGAACGGCCGGAGUAGCGGUGAAAUGCGUAGAUACCGGCCGGAAUCCCGAUGGCGAAGGCAACCUCCUGGGCCGUUCCUGACGCUGAGGCGCGAAAGCUGGGGGAGCGAACCGGAUUAGAAACCCGAGUAGUCC